Long non-coding RNA from Triticum dicoccoides, 862 nucleotides. RefSeq lists it as uncharacterized. The record is from RefSeq and is a predicted model, not a curated record. NCBI's taxonomy places the organism in Eukaryota, Viridiplantae, Streptophyta, Magnoliopsida, Poales, Poaceae. The transcript is spliced from 3 exons.
UGCUCCAGCUCGGAGGCACGGCGGCUCUUGUUGAACCUCAGCGGCCCGGCGCUCCCGCUGCAUAUCAGACACGCGGCAGCUCCCGCUGCAGCUCAGAGGCGCGGCGGCUCCUGUUGAACCUCAGCGGCCCGGCGCUCCCACUGCAUAUCGGACACGCGGCAGCUCCGGCUGCAGCACGGAGGCUCCAGCUGCAUCUCGGUGGGGCGGCGGCUCCCGGCGGCCCUAGCAGACACGGGGGGAUCCCAACUGAAUCUCGAGGGAAGACCGUGACCGGCGAUGAAGCUCCUCGCAUCACCUCCGCCGCCGCUGUUCCCAUCCACUGCCACCGUUCAGGUUUGUUCAUUACUCACCUGCUUCGCUACAAGUGUGGUGUCCGAUUUUCUGCGGACGACAAGUAUCUAAGACGAUUGGAGGUUCUUGCUGCGUUGUAUUGUUGCUGCUCCUGUUAAUGCACAUGUAUCCGACAAAAAAUCAUACAGGGUGCCCAAACGCAGCUGUUGAGUAAAUGCAUACAUAGUCAUGGGUUGCCUACGCCGUGGGUCCGCCGGCCGGCCAUGAGGAGCUCGCACGCCCGGAAGAAGCCACUUGCGAAGUCGCGAUGCCAUAGCAAGCUAGCGCACGGCAUGGAAUCAGAAUCCGCCCUAUGGCAGCCCAGGAUAUAUAAAAAAAGGAAAUUGCUAGAAAGGAAGUAGAAUAAAUUCCCCUGUUAUUAGGCAAAAAAGGAAGGAAUUUAAAAUAAGAAAUAAAUUCCGUUAGAAAUUAAAAUGCUAGCCUGUGGAGGAGCUCUUGGCAAGCAACCAUGUUUCGGAAUCUCAUUGUAAUGUUGUUUUCAAUGUCCUAUGAGGUCCAUAUAUAUUAUGCU